RNAcentral lists this ribosomal RNA (253 nucleotides) under uncultured bacterium. RNAcentral's name for it is "partial 16S ribosomal RNA". It matches the Rfam family "Bacterial small subunit ribosomal RNA", at positions 524 to 776 of the family's 1533-position model. The record is from RNAcentral.
UACGUAGGGUGCGAGCGUUAAUCGGAAUUACUGGGCGUAAAGCGUGCGCAGGCGGUUCGUUGUGUCUGAUGUGAAAGCCCCCAGCUCAACUGGGGAACUGCACUCUAUACUGGCGAGCUGGAGUGAGAUAGGGGUGUGUGGAACUGCCAGUGGAGCGGUGAAAUGUGUUGAUAUUGGCAGGAACGCCGGUGGCGAAAGCGACACACUGGGUCUCAACUGACGCUGAGGCACGAAAGCCAGGGGAGCGAACGGG